RNAcentral lists this ribosomal RNA (468 nucleotides) under uncultured bacterium. RNAcentral's name for it is "partial 16S ribosomal RNA". It matches the Rfam family "Bacterial small subunit ribosomal RNA", at positions 28 to 507 of the family's 1533-position model. The record is from RNAcentral.
GACGAACGCUGGCGGCGUGCUUAACACAUGCAAGUCGAACGGAAAGGCCCUGCUUUUGUGGGGUGCUCGAGUGGCGAACGGGUGAGUAACACGUGAGUAACCUGCCCUUGACUUUGGGAUAACUUCAGGAAACUGGGGCUAAUACCGGAUAGGAGCUCCUGCUGCAUGGGGGGGGUUGGAAAGUUUCGGCGGUUGGGGAUGGAAUCGAGGCUUAUCGGCUUGUUGGUGGGGUAGUGGCUUACCAAGGCUUUGACGGGUAGCCGGCCUGAGAGGGUGACCGGCCACAUUGGGACUGAGAUACGGCCCAGACUCCUACGGGCGGCAGCAGUGGGGAAUAUUGCACAAUGGGCGGAAGCCUGAUGCAGCAACGCCGCGUGCGGGAUGACGGCCUUCGGGUUGUAAACCGCUUUCGCCUGUGACGAAGCGUGAGUGACGGUAAUGGGUCAAGAAGCACCGGCUAACUACGUG